CUUUGUGUAAUACCCCGAACUUCACUUUAAACACUUACAUUGCCAUUACAUUUGCAUCUAAUUUUUCUCUUAUAAUGGUGCAUUGUGUCAUUGAAGUUUUAAGAUUUACAUGGUGUUAGUGUUCGACCUCCCAACCUAGGCGGUGAAUCUUACCUAUGGAAGAAAUUUUGGUUAAUCUAGAUGUUGGAUAUUGAUGUGGAAAUUAAUUGUGAUCUUGAAAGUGCCAAUCAUUAUCAGUAAAGUUACUCACUUUUAAUUCGGCUAAUCAUGGUUACCCUAAACCUUAACUAAGUCCAUAACUAAUUAUCUCUAUAAAUUAGGUUAGUAGUCACACUAAGAUAGAUACACUUGAUUUUGUAUUGCAAUGAUGGGUGUAAAACCAGAUUUUUUCCACAAAAACACCUCAUGCGUGAUGCUAUUGUCCUUUUAUACUCAAUUUCUUCAUUCCUAAGCAUUAUGUGGGACUCAAGCACCUUAAAGACUUUAUAUCUAUCCCUAUAUAAGAUAUUAACUCCUUCAAUUCAUCCCCAAUUGGUUCCAAGUGGAAAGAAAGCAAAAGAGCCAAAGAGAAAUAGAAAACAGAAAGCUGGAAAUGGCGGUUCGGGACAGCUGAGUUAGUUCACUAUUUUGAGGUUUGUCUUCAUUUUUUGAGGCUUCUUGAACUUCUGGACUUGAUUAUGAUCAUGUUGGGGUGUUUUGAUGAUUUAAUGAUGACAAAACAGGGAUAAUUGGUUGCAAGAACUUUAGCUAACGGAAUAUGGACCGAAAUUCAUUGUUUCUGGAUUUUAGUAAUACAACUUUGAAACUUAUGUUAUACCUUGAAAGGAACGUUAUAGGAAUGGGAAUAAUUUUUAAUAGGUUAGAAACUGAUUUGUGGCAUGAUAAGUAAUGGAAACCAGAGACAGUCCCAUUAAGCCACCUGAUUCAAUGUGCUAUAAAAAGGAGUUAAUUUGACACUGCAGACUCUUCACUUGUGAAAACUUUAGGGCAUCAUAACUUUUACAUACAUGUUAUAGAAGUGUGGUGAAAAUUUGGGAAUAAAUGGAUAUGGUUAAGAGUGUGAAAAGGGAUUGGAAAAAUAAUUGGACAGUAAUGGAAACCUACAAACAGGUUAUGUCCAUUUGCAGACUUAACUUAGUUUCAUCCUUUCUUUGUUAUUUCUUAGGCUUGUUAAAAAAAAAAAAAUGAUUAGAAGGAGUGCUAAGUUGUUGACAACAAUUAGACAACUUCGAAAUUCAUAAUUGAAUUCUCGAAUUAGUGAGAUUUACGGGACUAUUUUGCAAUGCGAUUUGUAACUUGAAAUGAUAAUGUUAUCUAAAUUAUUUUGGUAUGAAUGUCUAAUGUAGUACAGGAUUUUGUGUGUGUGAUAAUAUUAUCAAAUUGAGGAUAGUGUUUAACAUUUAAUGCUAAUAUAGGUGGCUUUCCAACUUUAAGUGAAAAGGAAAUGGAUCUAUACUCCAUAGAAAUGCAAGCACAAAAGGGCGAAAAGUAAGUAAAAAUCCAUUUACAACUACAAUGCAUGAACAUAGUAUUCAUGAAAUAUUCUUUAUUGAGUAUCGCAGUAACAUUUAUAUGAUCGGUAGGGUUGUUUUCUGGGCUGUUGUUUUGAUCAUAUAAUCUUUUGUAUUAUAUUUUGAGAAUCCUAUAUUGUAUAUACAUAUGGCUUUUGAAAUGGUAUGGCAGAUACUUCUCUUAUCCUCAAUGUAAAUAUGUUGGAAUUUGGUUAUAUAUUAUUUGUUUGUAAGAUACUAUAUAUGUACAUCAUAGGUGAUUAGGCAAGUAUUUAUAGGGAACUUAUUUUGAAGAUGCUUAUUGUGUCGACUUGAAUCCUUAACGAUUCGAGCGUCAGUGAACUAAAACUAAUUUAAAGAAUAUUCAACAUAAUCAUAUAAAUUAUUAAAGCACUUACCAAAAUUCAAAUAAUGUAAUGAAUUUAAUAAAUUAACUUGAAAUGAGAAAUAUCUUAAAACGUUUAAAAUCAAAUGAAAUAAUAGUUUGACAACGUAAUAAUUUAUUAUUGAAAUUUUUGCCACUAUAAGCAAUCUCCGUGCCAACUGCCUUAAAUUGUUAAUUAUCUGAAAGUAGAAACAUAAUGGGGUGAGAAUAAUUCUCAAUAAGAGCGCGAGGAUAAUGAAUUCAUGUAUGUAUUUCUACGAAAAAUGCAUAAGUUGCAUAGGGAGACACGAAAGUUGGACCGAAAAUAACAUAACCAUAGAAAUAAUAUUACAUACAUAAACAUUAGUCACCAUAAACAUAAACAAGUGUUGGUUUUGUCUCCUAUUUAUAGUGAAGAUUCUUGGCCAUGUGUAGAAAAGUGAAAGAAAAUGACUAGAUGUUAGGCGUGGUCGAUGCUUCAAUAGUACAAAAUCCUGUACUACAUUAGACAUUCAUACCAAAAUAAUUUAGAUAACAUAAUCAAAUUGAGGAUAGUGUUUAAUAUUUAAUGGUAAUACAGGUGGCUUUCCAACUUUAAGUGAAAAGGAAAUGGAUCUAUACUCCAUAGAAAUGCAAGCACAAAAGGGCGAAAAGUAAGUAAAAAUCCAUUUACAACUACAAUGCAUGAGCAUAGUAUUCAUGAAAUAUUCUUUAUUGAGUAUCGCAGUAACAUUUAUAUGAUUGGUAGGGUUGUUUUCUGGGCUGUUGUUUUGAUCAUAUAAUGUGACGCCCCGAACUUAAGUUUCGAGUGUCAUGUACAAAAUACUCUUAAAUAGAAGUAUUACAUGUAAGAAACUUAUUUUCAACUUGGUAAAAUGUCUCUAAUAAAAUUUUAAUGGCCCGCAAAAGCGCAUGUCGACAAGAAAUUAUACUUUACAUAUACGGAUUCUGCACUACCACGGUUAAUUGGGGCAGCAAGUUCGACUAUUUUUAUAAAAUUCAUCCCAGCUCCGUUUUCUAUGAAAUUUAUGACAUUAGAAAGAUAUUUUCAAGUAGUUAUCUAGGUUAAAAUAUAAAAAGUUUCCAAGAUCAUAUAAUAUGGGCGUUUUACUGAAAACAGUGAGGUAUUGCACAGAAAUUUCAGAUUUGACCCUUCAACGUUUAAAAGUUCAUAUCUCAGGCUAUGGAUAUCCAAAUUGAGUGAUUCUUGUUCCCAUAUUAAGAAAACUCAAUGAGGAAUGUAGUAAUACAAUUUCUCCUCCUUCAAGAUUUUCAGUGCAAUCCUUAAAUAUUCCUCAUUCUCUUCUUCACUCAUUGAGUAAAUUAGUAUGUCAUCAAUAAAUACAAUGACAAAUCGGUCAAGAAAAUCAUUAAAAACACAGUUCAUCAAGUCCAUGAAUACUUCAAAAGCAUUCAGUCCCAAAAUCCGUCAUCGAGAUAUCAUCUAUCUUGAUUCUUAGUUGAUGGUAUCUUGAUCAUAAAUCAAUCUUGGAAAAUACGACUGCACCUCGAAGCUAGUCAAACAAGUCCUCGAUUCUUGGAAGAGGAUACUUGUUCUUAAUAAUGAUCUUGUUUAGUUCUCGAUGAUCAAUGCAUAUCCUCAUCAAUCCGUCUUUCUUUUUGACAAAAACAAUUGGAGCUCCCCAUGUGAUACAUUGAAUAAAUCCCUUCUCUAACAAUUCUUCUAUUCGUGCCUUUAAUUCUUGUAGUGCUUUUGGUGCCAUUUUCUGUAAAGGGCCUUAGAAAUAGGUGUAGCCUUGGGGGUGAGAUCAAUCAUAAAUUGUAAUACCCCAAACUUCACAUUAAACAUUUUGCCAAUAUGAUUGAUGCGUUUCAUGCUAUUUGCAAUGUCAUUUGCGUCAAUUAUCCUAAUUACUUUCUAUGAAAAUGGUGCAUUUAAAUUAUUGAGGUUUUAAGAUCUUUUAUAUGGUGUUAAUCUUUGACUCCUUGACCUAAGUGGAGAAUCUUACAUUGAGCGUGAUAGAAAAUUAUGUUAGUCUAUACAUUGGAUAUAGAUGUGUUAAAGAUGGUGAUCUUGAAAGUUUCGGAAUCAUUACCGGUAAAGUUCCUUGCUUUUAAUUCCGUUAAUCAUGGUUAUCCUAAAUGCUAACUAAGUCUUUAACAUAUUUGGGACAUGAGGAUGAAGUGACAUGGUCAAAAUACAAAAUUAUAAGGUCCAAUUGAUGUUAUAAAUGUUGAGGUGAAAAUUAUUGAAGGGGUAAGUAAUUAAAUAAACGGUUAAGGAAUUAGCUCUGCAAAAUAUAUUGGGAUCUUAGGGCAAGUAAAAUGGAUUGUAAACACAUUAAAAUAAGCCAAGGACACUUGAUUUGUACCUGCAAGGAUGGACACAAAAUCAGAUUUUUACUACAAAGGACCACCUCAUGCUUGGGAUAGUUGUCAUUUUAAUAUCCAAUCUCUUAAUCCUUAAGGUAUCCAGCACGUCUCCAAUAUAUAUAUAUAUAUAUAUAGGAUAAGAAAAAAGUGAAAUAUUGCUAGAAGAAGCGACCUCAUGCUUAACACUUGUUAACUUGGCUGCAUCCCAAAUUUUCUUAAUCCUUAAGCAAGAGCCCCCAACCGCUUUUAGACUCCAAUACACCUCCUAACAACAUGUUUAGCUUUUCAAGUUAUCCCCAAUUGAAAGAGAAAGCAAAAGUAACAAAGAGAAGCAGAAAGAUAUAUUGAGUGAAAGCAAAAGGAUCGAAAUUGUAUAGUUGCUGGAUUCUGUCUAUUCAACCUUUGAUGUUUGAUAAUACCUUGAAUAUAACUUGUAUUUAUUAAUUGGAAUGUUUCUAUAUAUGAGUUAUAAGUAUAUAAAUGAUCUUUUAAUAGGAGAGAACCUGAGUUAUGUACGUUAAUCGAAACUCAAAAUAGCCAUAAAAAAAUUUCUUGAUUUAGUAUUCGGUAAAAGGGAUUGAUUUUCAGGCUGUAAAUCGAUUACUUGCGAUGAAUUAAUGAUAUGAUUACCUGCACUUAAAUGUUAUGUAAGUGUCGUAAAAUUUUGGGAAUUGAUUGAUGUGAUUAAGGACACAAAAAGGAGGUUGAAAAGAGAACCGGGAAGAAAUAGAAAUUGGAAAAAACAACUUUUGUCCUUUUCUGACUUAUAUAGUUCUACCUUCACAUGAUCAGUAAAUGCUUCUAAAUCUUGAGAAAAAAAAUUGAUUUGAAUGAGUGUUAGGACGUUAAUGAUCCAAUUAAAUGAUGUUUAUACUCGUAGAACUGGAAAGUAACGAGAAUUAUAUGGCUGGAUACUUGUAGUAUUAAUCUAGAAUAUGUUGGCAUCUAAACUCUUAGUAAAAUUGUGUGUUGGGGUUAUGGAAUUAGGGAUCGUGUUUAAUAUUAGAUGGUAAUACAUGUUGCCUUCAGACAUUAGGGGAGAAGAUCACACGCAAAGGCAAAAAGUUAAGUAAAAAUCCAUACGCAACUACAAUGUAAGAACAUAGUAUUUAUGAGAUAAUAAUGUUGGGACAUUUUCAUCACUUUGAUAACAAGCUCAUUGCAUACCAUAUGAUGGUUAUAAUUAUUUAGUAUGUAGUUUCGGAACAUAUUGACAUCGAUGUCGAUUAAGCAUGUCAUUCACGAGCAUUUUCCUAAGCAUGCUCGUCAUAUGGCCAUGGUUGAAAAUCUAGCAUGCACAACAUGAUCUUAAAAUUGAGUUUUACCUCAUAAAUAAUUUGUUGACCACUACUAGGGCACCGAGGCGUGUGAGGCAUGCUUGUGCAAUAUAUUUUGGCAUAAUGGGUGAUACUUCCUAGGUGAUUACAAAGGCAGAUAGGGGAUGAGUCUUUGGUGAUCACGGGAGGGUGGACCACUCGACUCUGCCCUUAUGAUGUUAUGAUUAUUGGUACUGCCGGGUGGGAUGCUUUUUGGAUGAUCCUGGGUAGUUAGGGGAUGGGCCUCUAGUGGUUACAAGAGGGUGGUCCACUCGCAGUUGUCAAUUUUAUAUUAGCCAUUUGAUUAUUGAAUAUUCAUAUUGAUAUUGAUAUUAUGUAGAGCUUUAUCCGGUGCAUAGUUGGUGUGUCAAGGGUCCAACGAAAGAUUUCAAAUGAAGUUAUUUCGAGUUGAUUUUGAUGAAUAUUUGAAUAUGACGCAUCUUUAGCAUAAUGUUUAAAGUAAAUAGCAUCGUGUCAUAUAUUAUUGUUACUCAUACUCAUGAAAUAUAUAUUUUUGCUUACUAAGCAUUAGUUUAUGUAGUUCUUGCAACAUAGGUGAGUUUGGGACUUCAUAGAGGUCAAAUAUAGCUGAGGUGCUCUUAUGGGAUUCCAGAGUUCGAUGUACAUGGAUGAUGACCUGUAGGUUGUGUUGUGGGCUGUUCUUUCGGUCUUAUAAUGUGAUAUCUUGAACUUCAUGUGACACAUUUGGCCAAUAAUUCAGGCAUUUCAUGCUAUUUACAAUGUCAUUUACAUUAAUUUUUCCUAAUUGCUUUCUCUUAAAAUGGUGUAUUCGAUUAUUG
This 6325-nucleotide long non-coding RNA is filed under the name Olea europaea (common olive). RNAcentral describes it as "long non-coding RNA (OEUR_LNC000251)". The record is from RNAcentral. Lineage: Eukaryota; Viridiplantae; Streptophyta; Magnoliopsida; Lamiales; Oleaceae.